Molecule: long non-coding RNA, 243 nt
Filed under: Ananas comosus (pineapple)
Lineage: Eukaryota; Viridiplantae; Streptophyta; Magnoliopsida; Poales; Bromeliaceae
Description: long non-coding RNA (ACOM_LNC007408)
Source: RNAcentral
ACUCUGGCAACUGAGUAUGCAAGCGUGUCUCUGCCGAGCUCAAUCAGGCUCUCACAGGGUGUAGUCAAUGCAAAUGGGUCUAACUAUUAUAACAACCAAAGCUCACGUGCUCUUGGCACAAUCUUAUGCAAAUUUGGGUCCACCGUCAACCACGACGGCAACUGACAGUAUAGAACAGUCUACACACUACUGUAAAACAAGCUCAGCCCCUCAGCACGAGCGUAAACUCACCCUACACUAAUU